This is a non-coding RNA of Bacillus sp. X1(2014), 65 nucleotides long. The record is from Rfam. NCBI's taxonomy places the organism in Bacteria, Bacillati, Bacillota, Bacilli, Caryophanales, Bacillaceae.
UAACCUACUUAGUGAUAAGUAGCUGAGCCAUCAGAAGUCAGCAGAGGUCAUAGUACGAAUUGGUC